RNAcentral lists this ribosomal RNA (301 nucleotides) under uncultured bacterium. RNAcentral's name for it is "partial 16S ribosomal RNA". It matches the Rfam family "Bacterial small subunit ribosomal RNA", at positions 509 to 807 of the family's 1533-position model. The record is from RNAcentral.
CAGUCGCCACGGUAAUACGAAGGGGGCUAGCGUUGUUCGGAAUCACUGGGCUUAAAGCGCGUGUAGGCGGGACGGUGCGUCGGCCGCUGAAAUCCCCUGGCUCAACCGGGGAACGGGCGCCGAUACGGCCGUCCUGGAGGGAGGUAGGGGGAGCUGGAACUUCCGGUGGAGCGGUGAAAUGCGUUGAGAUCGGAAGGAACGCCCGCGGCGAAAGCGAGCUCCUGGACCUCUUCUGACGCUGAGACGCGAAAGCCAGGGGAGCGAACGGGAUUAGAUACCCGCGUAGUCCCUGUCUCUUAUU